UUUUAACGGCUGCGGUAUUUUGACCGUGCUAAGGUAGCAUAAUCAAUUGUUUUUUAAUUGAAAACUAGUAUGAACGGUUUAAUUUACUUAAUUAGUUUGUAAUUUUUAAUAGUAAGUUAAAUAUAAAGUAAGAAUUCUUUAAUAAAUUAGGGGACGAUAAGACCCUAAAAGCUUUAUGAUUGGCAUUUAAUUGGUGAUAUCGGUGUUAUUAAUUCACUGGGGCAGUGAGUUUAGAUAUAUUUAAGUAUAAUUAAAAGCUCCUUUAAAUAAAGAUUUCAUGUAUAAGUUACUUUAGGGAUAACAGUGCAAUAUAUU
Molecule: ribosomal RNA, 315 nt
Filed under: Dikerogammarus haemobaphes
Lineage: Eukaryota; Metazoa; Arthropoda; Malacostraca; Amphipoda; Gammaridae
Description: partial 16S ribosomal RNA
Source: RNAcentral